RNAcentral lists this ribosomal RNA (465 nucleotides) under uncultured bacterium. RNAcentral describes it as "partial 16S ribosomal RNA". It matches the Rfam family "Bacterial small subunit ribosomal RNA", at positions 28 to 507 of the family's 1533-position model. The record is from RNAcentral.
GACGAACGCUGGCGGCGUGCUUAACACAUGCAAGUCGAACGGAAAGGCCCCCUUGUGGGGUACUCGAGUGGCGAACGGGUGAGUAACACGUGAGUAACCUACCCUUGACUUUGGGAUAACUUCAGGAAACUGGGGCUAAUACCGGAUAGGAGCUCCUGCUGCAUGGUGGGGGUUGGAAAGUUUCGGCGGUUGGGGAUGGACUCGCGGCUUAUCAGCUUGUUGGUGGGGUAUUGGCUCACCAAGGCUUUGACGGGUAGCCGGCCUGAGAGGGUGACCGGCCACAUUGGGACUGAGAUACGGCCCAGACUCCUACGGGAGGCAGCAGUGGGGAAUAUUGCACAAUGGGCGGAAGCCUGAUGCAGCAACGCCGCGUGCGGGAUGACGGCCUUCGGGUUGUAAACCGCUUUCGCCUGUGACGAAGCGUGAGUGACGGUAAUGGGUAAAGAAGCACCGGCUAACUACGUG